Molecule: non-coding RNA, 73 nt
Filed under: Cimex lectularius (bed bug)
Lineage: Eukaryota; Metazoa; Arthropoda; Insecta; Hemiptera; Cimicidae
Description: tRNA
Rfam family: tRNA
About the family: Transfer RNA (tRNA) molecules are approximately 80 nucleotides in length. Their secondary structure includes four short double-helical elements and three loops (D, anti-codon, and T loops).
Source: Rfam by way of RNAcentral
GUCACGAUAGCUCAGAUGGUAGAGUAUCGGCGUAUCUAGCCGAAGAUCGUGGGUUCGAAUCCCGCUCGUGACA